CAACUCACCUGCCGAAUGAAUUAGCCCUGAAAAUGGAUGGCGCUCAAGCGUAGUACCCAUACCUCACCGUCAGCGUUUAUGUGACGCGCUGACGAGUAGGCAGGCGUGGAGGUCAGUGAAGAAGCCUUGGCAGUGAUGCUGGGUGAAACGGCCUCUAGUGCAGAUCUUGGUGGAAGUAGCAAAUAUUCAAGUGAGAACCUUGAAGACUGAAGUGGGGAAGGGUUCCAUGGUAACAGCAGUUGGACAUGGGUUAGUCGAUCCUAAGAGAUAGGGAAGCUCCGUUUUAAAGUACACGAUUAUCCGUGUCGCCUAUCGAAAGGGAAUCCGGUU
RNAcentral lists this ribosomal RNA (330 nucleotides) under Chloropicon mariensis. Its description in RNAcentral is "partial Eukaryotic large subunit ribosomal RNA". It matches the Rfam family "Eukaryotic large subunit ribosomal RNA", at positions 1286 to 1611 of the family's 3401-position model. The record is from RNAcentral. Lineage: Eukaryota; Viridiplantae; Chlorophyta; Chloropicophyceae; Chloropicales; Chloropicaceae.